RNAcentral lists this transfer RNA (85 nucleotides) under Gammaproteobacteria bacterium. RNAcentral's name for it is "tRNA-Leu". It matches the Rfam family "tRNA". From Rfam's summary of the family: Transfer RNA (tRNA) molecules are approximately 80 nucleotides in length. Their secondary structure includes four short double-helical elements and three loops (D, anti-codon, and T loops). Further hydrogen bonds mediate the characteristic L-shaped molecular structure. tRNAs have two regions of fundamental functional importance: the anti-codon, which is responsible for specific mRNA codon recognition, and the 3' end, to which the tRNAs corresponding amino acid is attached (by aminoacyl-tRNA synthetases). tRNAs cope with the degeneracy of the genetic code in two manners: having more than one tRNA (with a specific anti-codon) for a particular amino acid; and 'wobble' base-pairing, i.e. permitting non-standard base-pairing at the 3rd anti-codon position. RNAcentral also lists the same sequence under 2 other names. Lineage: Bacteria; Pseudomonadati; Pseudomonadota; Gammaproteobacteria. The record is from RNAcentral.
GCGAAAGUGGCGGAACCGGUAGACGCGCUGGCUUUAGGUGCCAGUGGGGCAACCCGUGGGGGUUCGAGUCCCCCCUUUCGCACCA